RNAcentral lists this ribosomal RNA (645 nucleotides) under Peziza oliviae. RNAcentral's name for it is "eukaryotic LSU rRNA". It matches the Rfam family "Eukaryotic large subunit ribosomal RNA", at positions 1 to 655 of the family's 3401-position model. Lineage: Eukaryota; Fungi; Ascomycota; Pezizomycetes; Pezizales; Pezizaceae. The record is from RNAcentral.
GGGUGACCUCAGAUCAGGUAGGGAUACCCGCUGAACUUAAGCAUAUCAAUAAGCGGAGGAAAAGAAACCAACAGGGAUUGCCUCAGUAACGGCGAGUGAAGCGGCAAAAGCUCAGAUUUGAAAUCUGGCGUCAUUUUGGCGUCCGAGUUGUAAUCUGUAGAGGAGUAUUCGAGUGUGGCGCUGGCUUAAGUUCCUUGGAACAGGACGUCAUAGAGGGUGAGAACCCCGUUAACGGCCUUUGUCUUAUGCUCAUGUGAAUCUCCUUCAACGAGUCGAGUUGUUUGGGAAUGCAGCUCUAAAUGGGUGGUAAAUUCCAUCUAAAGCUAAAUACUGGCAAGAGACCGAUAGCGCACAAGUAGAGUGAUCGAAAGAUGAAAAGAACUCUGAACAGAGAGUUAAAUAGUACGUGAAAUUGUUGAAAGGGAAGCACUUGCUACCAGACACGCCUGUAGUUGAUCAACCUCCAUUUUUGGUGGUGCACUCAGCUAUAGGUGGGUCAGCAUCAGUUAUGGCGGUGGGAUAAAGACUUGGGGAAUGUGGCUUCUCUCGGGAGGUGUUAUAGCCCUGAGUGUAAUACCAUCUGCUAUGACUGAGGACCGCGCUUCGGCGAGGAUGCUGGCAUAAUGGUCGUAAGUGACCCGUCUG